UAUAUCUACGGGGGGCAGCAGUGGGGAAUAUUGCGCAAUGGGCGAAAGCCUGGCGCAGCGACGCCGCGUGAGGGAUGAAGGUCUUCGGAUCGUAAACCUCUGUCAGCAGGGAAGAACGGUCACUGUGCUAAUCAGCAGUGAAUUGACGGUACCUGCAAAGGAAGCACCGGCUAACUCCGUGCCAGCAGCCGCGGUAAUACGGAGGGUGCGAGCGUUAUUCGGAAUUACUGGGCGUAAAGCGCUCGUAGGCGGAAUGUCAAGUCAAGGGUGAACUCCCCGCGCUCA
Molecule: ribosomal RNA, 285 nt
Filed under: uncultured bacterium
Lineage: Bacteria
Description: partial 16S ribosomal RNA
Rfam family: Bacterial small subunit ribosomal RNA
Source: RNAcentral